This 26410-nucleotide long non-coding RNA is filed under the name Setaria viridis. Its description in RNAcentral is "long non-coding RNA (SVIR_LNC009641)". Lineage: Eukaryota; Viridiplantae; Streptophyta; Magnoliopsida; Poales; Poaceae. The record is from RNAcentral.
CUGUUGGGGGGAAAUAUUAACGACCCUCUAACACGCAGCUUAAAGAAACAAACAUGAAGGCCCAGGCCCACCGAAGCGUGAUCAAGUCUCCGCCUCGCCCGACCCCAGCGUCAGGAUCGGGAGCGCCCGACCUCCCUCCGCAAGAUCUCCGCCUCGCCCGACCGCGCCCCCAGGGUCAGGAGCGCCCGACCCUGUACCACGAAAGUUCCGCCUCGCCCGACCCCGAGCAAAGGAGUCGGGCACGCUGAGGCCCACGGGUCAGAAUCCCCCUCGGAUACGUUCCGCAUAGACAAGACAAAUCCUGUGGGGCCCCCCGUCGGCCUCACCAUAAAUGCGCCGCAGAGAUAGCAGAGCGCAGGGCGACCGCGCCCCUCACGCAACCCGGCACAAGUACCCGCGCACGACUGUCCUGUACGAGCUACAGUACUGGCGGCCAGCUCCUAUUCGUCGCAAGGUACUCAUGACCUGCGGCGACUAGAGAGAGGGAGGGAGCGGCCCCGCCCUCGGGUCCCUCGCGCCCUCGGGUCCCGCGCAAACGGCAGCACAGGCACGGAACUCCCACCCUCUACAAGCCAUCGCCGGAGCAGCGGCAUCCACCAUCCUCCCUAACGGACGGCGGGAUAACGACGAAACCCCCUCAUCAUGAUCUAUCCUGAUACCUACGAACCUCGAAGUAGCUACCUGCGAAGAGCUGCAACACUUGGCAUCCGGCAGCCACCCCUUCCGGCAUGCACGACGGCACGCGUUCAGGGUCAGCAGGACGUCGGGCGCCAGGGGCCUCUGCCCCCCUUCCCGCUAGACCCUUUUUACCAUCUCACUCUUUGCCUUUUAUCUGGUCCCAAUUGUAACUCCGGCUGGCCCCUUGCGAUAUAAAAGGGGGAACCUAGAGCCGGGGGAAAGGGAUCGGCAGACCAAGAGAUCAACACUUCCCCCAAGAACACAAAAAUAAAAGAGACCUGGGACCAGUCCCUCUCUCGCCCGUCUGUAACCCCCUACUACAGAAUCCCCGCGCGGGCAACACGAACAUCCUCGAUACUGGACGUAGGGCUUCCUUUGCCCGAACCAGUCUAAUCCGUGUCUCCCGUGCAACCAUCUGAGACUCACGCACAUAAAAGAAAUUUACUAGUCUAAGUCCUGAUCCGCUGAUCUUGACAACGACAGUUGGCGCGCUAGGUAGGGGACCUUUGCGCGUACAUCUCCAAAUCUCAGAUGGCCAAUCGCGAUGGCAGCUUCGCUCCGAGCUCCCUGAUCCGCUUCGGGAGCCUGGACUUUCUGGCCACCGGAAAUGGGAUCGAGCUGAUCCCUGUCCACAUCCUGCCCGCUCGUCCUGCUGCCCUCGGCACCACCGCUAGGAUGACGACGAGCGGCCGGACGCCGGCCGGAAGGGCCUCACCAGAAGGAUGGCUCUUCGGGCUACGCAACGCCACGGAUGCUCACGGUCGCCUCCUAGCGCGGUCCUUCGCCACGUCACCCGCGAGCAACGAGCUCGCGGGCAUGGCAAGGACGGUCUCCGACACUGGCUCCAGUAACGAGGAUCCACGCCCCUCGCGCGAGUGCUUCAUGGCUGACGCGCACUCCGAGGGGUCCAAUGGCAAUGGUGCCGAAGGGAGGCAACGGGCUCCCCCCUCGCGCGCCGCAGCUACGACUGGGGCCCUACCCAGGGCACCAGAGGGCUCUCUGCAACCGGAAGCGCACAUGGGCGCUUGCCAAGAAGUAGAGCACCCCCGCCACGAGGGGAGAGCACGACAACGAGCGCGCGACGUCCAGGAACGCAUCUGUGCGGAUGGAGAACGUCCACCGCUCUUUGCCCGCGCCAGCCAGAACGUCGCCGCCGCGGCGGUGCUACUCCGACAGCUCCCCGAGCCGGCAACGCCUGAGGAGCGACGGGCGCGCCAAGAGAUGCGUAACCUACUCGAGUGCACCGCCGUCCAGCAGGCAGAAAGUUCGGCGUCUCGACGACGCGGCCAGAACGCCAGUAGGGCGACGCAGGGCGCCCCCCCGGAACGGCGGGGGGAAUCUGUCCAUCAACCCCUUCCGGAAGCGAAUCCGACCGCGACCGCCCAGCGAGCACCGCCACUCGCGGUAGGCGAGGCCCGAUCCAUCCACCAGCGCGUCGGUCCCGUUCGUGACGCCCGCGACACACUGAACGCGCGGAGACGUUCCCGCGCGGACAGGGCGGACGGGGCGGACCGUGGCUACCACGUCCACCGUGGCGGGCGCUACGACAGCGGGGAAGACCACAGUCCGAGUCCCGGAGCAGCCGGACCUCGGGCCUUCUCUGCGCGCAUCCUGAAUGCGCCCUUCCCGCCGCGCUUCCGGCAACCUACGAGUGUGGCCAAAUACUCAGGGGAGACCAACCCUGGGGUAUGGCUCAGCGAUUACCGGCUUGCAUGUCAAGCUGGCGGGGCGGACGAUGACUUGUUCAUCAUCCGCAACCUACCCUUGUUUCUGGAAGACUCCACGAGAGCCUGGCUAGAACAUAUCCCUUCAGGGCGUGUUCGCAACUGGAACGACUUGAAGGAGGUUUUCGUAGGAAACUUCCAAGGGACGUACACACGCCCUGGCAACUCCUGGGAUCUCCGGAGCUGCCGCCAGGGGGCGGACGAGUCCCUCCGGGAUUACAUCCGGUGCUUCUCCAGAAAGCGCACUGAGCUCUCCAACGUCGCCGACGCUGACGUCAUAGGAGCCUUCCUAGCAGGGACCUCUUGCCGACCCCUCGUCCACGAGCUAGGGCGCCGAGGCCCGCGGACCACGGAGGAGCUCCUCAACAUCGCCACUAGCUAUGCCUCUGGCGAAGAGGCUGUCGGAGCGAUCUUUGAUCGUUCCAAAGGCAAGGCGAAGCGGGAGGAGGACGCCGACGAAGGCACCUCCAACCGCCAGCGGCAGAAGAAGAAGGGCAAGCAGCUGUGCGAGGCCCCCCUCGUGGCCGCAGUCGAAUGCAAGCGAGGGCAGCCACCCCCCGAAGGCGCACCUGGCUUCUUCGACAAGCUGCUCGAGGGACCGUGCCCAAACCACGAGUUCCCCGUAAAACACGCCUACAAAGAUUGCAACCUCAUGAAGAGGUUCUUCGUGGGCAAUCCGGUGAAGGGUGAUCGGAAACGGAAGCCCGAUGAGGAAAGGAAGGGCGACGAGGAGAAGGAAGACGGCUUUCCUAAAGUGGACGGCUGCUUCAUGAUCUUCAGAGGCCCCGCAGCGUACGACACCAAGCGCCAGCACAAGCUAGAGCGUCGGGAGGUUUACGCCGCCGAGCCUGCAACCCCGGCUUUCCUCGAUUGGUCCGCGCCGGCCAUCACCUUCGACAGGUCCGACCACCCUGGACGCGUCCGGCACCCAGGGCGCUAUCCUCUCGUCGUCGACCCCAUCAUCGGCACGACGCAUCUCACCAAGGUACUCAUGGAUGGGGGCAGCGGCCUCAACCUCCUCUACGCUGAGACCCUCGACACCAUGGGGAUUGACCGCUCCCGUCUCCGUCCUAGCAAGGCUCCCUUCCAUGGCGUCGUGCCAGGGAAGCAGGCAACGCCCCUCGGGCAGAUCGACCUGCCCGUCACGUUUGGGACCCCUUCCAACUACAAGAAGGAGGUCCUCACCUUCGAGGUGGUGGGCUUUCGCGGAACCUACCACGCCAUCUUGGGCCGCCCAUGCUACGCGAAGUUCAUGGCAAUCCCCAACUACACCUACCUCAAGCUCAAGCUGCCAGGACCCAACGGAGUCAUCACCGUCGGCACGACCUUCCAGAAGGCAUACGAGUGCGACGUCGAGUGCUGCAAGUACGCCGCGGCUAUCACCGUCUCGGGCGACAUGGUGGCCCAGCUUGAGGAAACAGUUGAAGACCGGCCCGAUGCCAAGCAGUCAGGAACCUCCUUCGAGCCCACCGAAGGUAUCAAAGAAGUCCCUCUCAAUCCCGGUUGUUCCAGUGGAGGGGUGGUGCGGAUCAGCGCAGCCCUAUCCCCCAAAUAGGAAAGCGCGCUCGUCGGCUUCCUCCGCGCAAACAGCGACGUCUUUGCAUGGAAGCCCUCGGACAUGCCAGGCAUCCCGAGAGAAGUCGCCGAGCAUUCCCUGAACAUCAGGACCGGCUCUAAACCGGUGAAGCAAGGCUUGCGCCGUUUCGAUGAAGAAAGGCGCAGGGCCAUUGGUGAAGAGCUUGAAAAGCUCCUGGCGGCCGGCUUCAUCAAGGAAGUACACCAUCCCGAGUGGUUGGCCAAUCCUGUUCUUGUGCCGAAAAAGAAUGGGAAAUGGAGAAUGUGUGUCGAUUAUACCGGUCUCAACAAAGCGUGUCCAAAGGAUCCGUUUCCUUUGCCGCGUAUAGAUCAAAUAGUCGACUCGACAGCCGGGUGCGAAACACUCAGCUUCCUCGACGCGUACUCCGGCUACCACCAGAUCGCGAUGAAAGAGGACGACCAGCUCGCUACCUCCUUCAUCACCCCCUUUGGCCCCUACUGCUAUGUUAAGAUGCCAUUCGGCCUCAAAAACGCGGGGGCUACCUUCCAGCGAUGUAUGCUUAAGUGCUUCGGAGACCUCAUCGGGCAGACCGUUGAGGCCUACGUCGACGACAUCGUUGUCAAAUCCAGGAAGAGCGAUCAGCUCAUCCCCGACCUAGAGCUAGCCUUCGAAAGGCUAAGGGAUAAGCGUAUCAAGCUUAACCAAGAGAAAUGCGUGUUCGGUGUCCCAAGGGGCAUGCUGCUAGGCUUCAUCGUCUCCGUGCGCGGCAUCGAGGCGAACCCGGAGAAGAUAGCGGCCAUCAACGGCAUGGGGCCGAUCCGGAACAUGAAGGGAGUGCAGCGCGUCAUGGGAUGCUUAGCGUCCCUAAGCCGCUUCAUCUCGCGCCUCGGCGAGCGAGGACUCCCCCUCUAUCGGCUCCUGAAGAAAUCCGACCGCUUCGAGUGGACCAGCGAGGCGCAGGAGGCGCUUGACCGGCUCAAGGACCUCCUGACGAAGGCCCCAAUCCUGGUUCCGCCGGCCGACGGCGAGAUCCUUCUACUCUACGUCGCGGCGACCACCCAGGUGGUCAGCGCGGCCUUAGUGGUGGAGCGGGAGGAGGAGGGGCAUGCUCUUAAAGUGCAACGCCCGGUGUACUUCAUCAGCGAGGUGUUGUCCGAAUCCAAGUCACGAUGCCCACAGAUCCAGAAGCUCGUCUACGCCGUCCUCAUCGCGAAGAGGAAGCUGCGUCACUACUUCACCUCCCACCCGGUAACGGUCGUCUCUUCAUUCCCGCUUGGUGAAGUAAUCCGGAACCCAAAUGCAACAGGGAGGAUCGCGAAAUGGGUGGUUGAGCUUAUGGAUCAAGGUAUCACCUACGUCCCCCGCACCGCCAUUAAGUCCCAGGUACUUGCCGAUUUCGUGGCCGAGUGGACACAGAUACAAACACCGCCGGCGACAGAGGAGCAGGAGUAUUGGACGCUGUACUUCGACGGGUCGUUGAUGAGGGCCCGCGCUGGAGCAGGCCUCGUUUUCAUCUCUCCGCUGAGCGUACGCAUAAGGUACAUGAUUCGCCUCCAUUUUCCUGCAUCCAACAAUGUCGCUGAGUAUGAAGCCCUUCUCAACGGGCUUCGCAUCGCCAUCGAGCUGGGCAUCCGUCGACUAGACGUCUGAGGCGAUUCCCAGUUGGUCGUCGAACAAGUCAUGAAAGAAUGGAGCUGCCAUGACCCAAAAAUGGCCGCCUACUGCAACGAGGUACGUAAGCUCGAGGACAAGUUCGACGGGUUGGAGCUCAACCACGUCGCAAGGCGCUUCAACGAAGCCGCCGACGAGCUCGCAAAGGCAGCGUCCGGCCGGAUGCCCGUCCCCGACGGCGUCUUCGUUAGCGACCAGCUGAAGCCUUCGAUCCGUUACCCGGAGCCAGCAGGGGUCGGCGAGGCAUGCCCAGCCUUGGGGUCGGGAUCCGAGCCAGGAGAGGUCGGCAAUACGCCACCUAUCCUGGACCCGAACACCAAUCCCGAGGGAAACAACGCUGCCCCACCCGACCCGGCCGCGAAAGCCAAGCCCUCCGACCCCGCAGUUAUGGAAAUUGAGGCGGGCCCCGCGGCGGGGGCCGACCCCACGACCAAUUGGAGAACCCCGUACCUCGACUACCUUAUCCACGACGCACUCCCAACCGACAAGACCGAAGCCCGCAGGAUCACGCGCCGUGCGAAAUCCUUCACCAUCAUCGACCAAGAGCUUUACAAGCGAAGCCACACGGGGAUCCUCCAGCGCUGCAUCCCGAUCGAGCAGGGAAAGGCGCUGAUCCAGGACAUCCACGCCGGGGCUUGCGGUCAUCACGCUACACCAAGGACGCUUGUGGGCAAUGCCUUCCGACAAGGUUUCUACUGGCCAACCGCGGUCGCGGAUGCUACCCAGGUAGUCCGCACUUGCGAAGGAUGCCAAUUCUUUGCCCGCACAGGCGUUGCAAACCAUCCCCAUCACGUGGCCGUUCGCGGUCUGGGGGCUGGAUCUCGUCGGACCCUUCAAAAGGGCGCCUGGGGGCUUCACCCACCUACUCGUCACCGUCGACAAGUUUUCCAAAUGGAUCGAAGCAAGGCCUGUGGCGCAAAUCAAGUCCGAGCAAGCGGUACAAUUCUUCACCGACAUCAUCCACCGCUUCGGGAUCCCGAACUCCAUCAUAACCGACAACGGUACGCAGUUCACCGGAAAGAGAUUCCUCCAGUUCUGCGACGACCACCACAUUCGAGUGGAUUGGGUGGCAGUUGCGCACCCCCGCACGAACGGGCAAGUCGAACGAGCCAACGGCAUGAUACUCCAGGGUCUCAAGCCACGGAUCUUCGACCGCCUUAAAAAGUUCGGCGGACGAUGGGCUGCGGAACUCCCAGCAGUCCUCUGGAGCCUGAGGACGACCCCCAGCCGGGUGACAGGAUUCACCCCGUUCUUCAUGGUUUACGGGUCUGAGGCCAUCCUGCCCACCGACUUGGAGUAUGGGUCACCAAGGGUCAAAGCAUACGACGAACAGGGGAACCAGGCAUCGCUCGAGGACGCGCAAGACCAACUCGACGAAGCGCGAGAUGUAGCCCUCCUACACUCAGCUAAGUACCAACAGGCCCUACGGCGUUACCACAGCCGCAAGAUACAAGGUCGCGCCUUCAACGUUGGAGAUCUAGUGCUCCGCCUCAUCCAAGACAACAGGGGUCGGCACAAAUUGACUCCCCCAUGGGAAGGCCCGUUCAUCGUCGCACAGGUGCUACGGCCAGGCACCUACAAGCUGGCAACUCCCGACGGGCAAAUCUUCAGCAACGCCUGGAACAUAGAACAGCUAAGGCGCUUCUACCCAUAGCUCUCGUUUAUAAGUUAUAUAUAGCCUUGCCCCCGUUUUCGUUUUAAGCUCAGGGGUAUCCGACCCUGGCCUCGCUCCAAGGUCGCAUACCCCUCGGGGGCUACCAGUUUUGUUCUUCUGCUAAAAAGAAACCCUGAGCCACCUGGGCCCAGGUCUUUUCGUUUAAGCUCAGGGGUAUCCGACCCUGGCCUCGCUCCAAGGUCGCAUACCCCUCGGGGGCUACCAGUUUUGUUCUUCUGCUAAAAAGAAACCCUGAGCCACCUUGGCCCAGGUCUUUUUGUUUAAGCUCAGGGGUAUCCGACCCUGGCCUCGCUCCAAGGUCGCAUACCCCUCGGGGGCUACCAGUUUUGAUCUUCACGAAACAAGAAGGCCUUUUCUUUUAAGCUCAGGGGUAUCCGACCCUGGCCUGGCCCCAGGAUCGCACACCCCUCGGGGGCUAUCAGGGGUCCCAACCCCAGCCGCUGGGCACCGCUAAAAAGAAAAUGUUUUUUCUUCUUUCAAAGAACCGGACACUCCCUUUCGAAAACCUUUGGACGCAAAAAGAUAAGGAUGCGUGAACGGUACUCAGCCAAGUUGCGAUCGGACUGCGAAAAAGCCUACGCCCCAGCGGCUACGGUACCUUCGCUCAUCAAAAACUUACUGACACGCCUGGCAACGCAUCCGAACGCUUUCAAAAACCAAAGGAAUAACAAAGGGAAGCGGUUUCCUUAGCACAAAAUAAAAAGUCAUAAGAACAGGCCCGUAUGGCCAGCGCAAACAAGUUCAAGACAACUGACUUAAAUACAAAUGUUUUUUGGGCACAAGCCCGGUACAGCUAAUUGACAGGAGGGUCAACAGGAGCGACGGCCUCAGGGUCGGCGACGGCGGCGGCUUCAGGGUCGGCGGCGGCAGGAGCAUCGGGGCCGGCAGGAGCGGCUUCAGGGUCGGCGGCGACAGGGGCCUCGGGGCCGGUAGGAGCAGCUUCAGGGUCGGCAGGAGGGACGGCUUCAUCCUCCAGAAGCUUCGCGAGGGCCUCCGCCGUCGCAGUCACCGCGGAGUCGAUCUCGUCCAGCUCGGCGUCGGUGUAGCCAGCGCAGUACCCCUCACUCAUCCCGACAAAGUUAAUGUCGGCAUAGUGAGAGCCGAAGACCCCGAAGGUGCGCCGCACACCAAGGUGAAGCGCGUCCACGGCAAUCUCACGACGGCGACGGCGCACUUCAAGAACACGGGCCGACAGCGAGCUCGACCCCUCUUCCGGAGCAACGCCGAAGUCCUCGCAGACGACGCGGACCGCAUCCCGCAAGGCGCCAUGCUCGCCGCGCUCCUCGUCGAGCAAAACCCGCAACCUGGCAAGGUCCUCUGCAGGAGCCGAUCAAGAAGUCCCACCAAGUCAGAUGAAAUGAAACACCAACAACACGGAGAUACAGAAGCAGAAAGAGCCUCACCGUCGGCUUGGGCCUUCAGCUCGCGUUCCCGGUCGACACUGAGGGACAAGGCGGUCUGGAGCCCGUGCACCUGCAAACGGAAUUGCUCGCGUUCCGCGUGAAGGGCUCCAUUCUCCCCCCUCAGCCGCGCCAGUUCUUCGGCGUCUCGGCGGGCUCGCUCAUUAGCCGCGACCCUUAGCCCCUCGGCAUCACGGCGCGCCUUGUCCAUGGCAGCCUGGAACUCCUCAAGGUCCAGAUGGGCCUUCUCCGCGACGGCCUGGAGCUUGGCCUCGGCACGCCGUGCCCCCUCCAGCGCCACCUACUCACGACCCUCCAGGUCGCGAACGGCAGAAACAAACAUACCUGGUUGCCAGGGACCACGGUGUUGGCCAAAGCUCCCAACGCCGAGGUCAGCGCCGCCUGAGCCUGGGCGACGCCGCCAUGCACCACCUGCCACUUAUGCCACUCGACGGCAUCGUCCAGUGCGUAGAGGCGCCGCGGCGGAUCGUCGCGGGACGUCCAGCGGAGGAUGUGCCCUCUCCACGCCCCGGGGACGGAGGAAGCCGAGGGCGGAACAAGGCCCGACUCUGACGUUGUCGUCGAUGACGACAUUACGACGCCAGAAACCCCCGGAUCCGUCGGCGCCUGCACACCCGUCGCCACCACGGCCGCCGACGGCACCUCUGUGGGCACCUCCGUCUCGGCCGCCGGAAGCACCCCCGUGGGAGCAACCGGGACGGAGACCUCGGCCUCCGACACCGGUGCCUUCACCGCCGCCGCACCCUCGGGAGCCAGCGCCCCCUCUGCCUCCGACCCCGCCACGGCAGCGGGGGCAUCCGCCCUGCCCACUGCCGUCUCCGCCUCCUCCGCCUCGUCGGCGUCGAGGUCGAUCACCUCCCCGGCUUGCGGGCCCGGGGGAAUCGCGACCCGAGCCGGAAGGACGACCGGUGGGGCCGCAGGCGGAGUAGGGUCCGCUCCCCCUCCUGCGGCUGACCCCGCCGCCGUCCCGACGACCGGCUCCUCAGCGGCCACCUCCGCCGAGGGACCUGCGGCCACGCCAGCAACCCCGCCAGUCACCGCUGGCAGGGUGGCGGCCCGCCCCCCGGAGGAGGACGACGUCCGCAGCAUCUUCUUGGGCGCCAGCCGCAGGGUGACGCCGCGGGGAGAAGUGCUGCAACAUCGACGGUUAGGCGUCAAACAGGAACGUACGAAAGGAGAAAGAAAGGAUGACAUGUGGGGAGAGUCAACUUACGCCCUCGAAGCACAGGGGCGGCGCGCGCGCUUCGACUCUGAGCCGGACGCCGACCCCGGGGCAUCCGGCAGUGGCCGCUUGUCCCCACCUCGUUGCCCUCCGCCAGCAGGCACGACGGCGGGGGCAGCCCCCACAGAUCCCCGAGGAGCCUCCCGAGCGGACUCCUGGGGGGCGCCCCGCGCCGGACCCGAGACUGCGGCAGGGGCGGACUCUGAAGGCCCCCGAGGGGCGCUCCGGCUCGACGCCGGGGCGACAUCCCUCGCCGGCGCCGGGGGAACACCCCGCGCCUGCUCCUGGGGGGUGCCCUGGGAUGACCCCGAAGGGGCACCCCGCGUCCCUCCCUGGGGGAGGUCCUGUGCCGACCCCUGGGGGACGCCCUGUGUUGCCCCCUGGGGAGCGAUCCGCGCAGGCUCCUGGAGCACGCGCUGCGCUGACCCCUGAGGCACGGCCCCAGGACCGGGGGGAGCCGGAUCCCGCACGGGCGCUCCCGCCGCCGCCGCACCCCCUGCCGCCGUAUGCGGGGGUGCGUCACGAAUCACUAAAGCCCCCGAACGGGGGGCAAACAAUUCCAUUUCCUCCUCCUCCUCCUCCUCUUCUUCUUCUUCUUCUUCCACGUCGUUGUCGUCGUCGUCGGACCCGACCACCCCUCUCCGCCGCGCUGGAGCUCCUUGGCGGCCUUCUUCCGCUGCUUCUUCGUCUCCUUGUCCUUACGGCGUUUGUCCUUCUCGGCCUGGAGGCGAUUGCGGGCCCUCCGCACGGCAUCCUCCGGCACCGGCGGGAGGGAGUCCGCAACCCGGGUCAGCAUGCCCUGCGAGGCAAAAGGAGGACCAACGUCAGAACGACAAGACGAUGCGACGACAGGAAGGAGGAGUGGUGGCCCAAACGCCUUACCAGGUCCACGAAGCCCUGCUCCGGGCGCAUAGGUGGAUGCCCGGGGAUCGGGUAGUCGACGUCCUUGUCCUCCAGCGCCUCCCGGAGCCGUUGCUGGAUCUCGGAGGCGGCGAGCGCACCUGUCGCCAUGACAGUGCCCUCGGGCGGCAUGUCGGGGGUCAUGACGCCAAGGGGCCGGACCCGGAGCAUCAGCGGCGCCACCCGCCGGGCGUGGUAUGCACCGAUGACCCCAGCGCCGGUGAGCCCCUCCCGCUUCAGCUGCCCGAUGGCCUGCAGCAGGUCGGAGAUCUUCCUCUUCUCCUUCUCCACCGGCCCGUACGCCCACACAUCGGGCGCCGCGUCGAUGGUGCGACCGGUGAAUGCCGGCAGGGGGGAGAUCGGGUAGUUCUUCACGUAGAACCACUGAUUGUGCCACCCCUUGUGGGACACCGAGGUCUUCACCGUGUGUUGGCGCUAGAAAUCGGUCAAACGAAUCCCAGCGACCGACACACGACCCGGGAGAAUCUGCUUAGCUCCUGUUCGGGUGAAUGCCCUAGUGCGGUUCGCGCGGCGUGCCAGCCAAUCUGACCUGUUGAUUGGCAAGGAAGAACACGUGUCAGGUUCAGAAACUACGAUCGGCUAAGUUUCCGAUCGAGAGAGUUUAUCGGCGAAUCGGCCGAUUUACUGUGAUAAUGAAAUCGGCUAUAAGACAGCCCGAUCCCUAUAGCCUUGUAGACAGAAAAUUGCUAAAGUAAUCGGUACAAAGCUUGCGAUAACAACACUAGGAACAGAUCUAAUCGGCAACGGAUGAAUCUAACGAUAGAAAAUAAAUAAAGCCGAUACUACCGAUUCCUAGCUGGAUAACUGGUGAUAGAAACUAGAAAAACAGGUAAAAACCUAUGAAUCUAGCAAAUAUCGAUAACUGAUGAAUAAAUCUAAACGAAACAACAGCGAUGCGCUGGAAGUUAAAGCUUAGAUAUUACUCGAUAAACGGAACUUACAGAAUCGGCCGGAGAUCAAGAUGAUGCAGCCCUGCCAAUCCGCACGAACUCGUAAGAAGAAAAAGUAAUAGCGAAGUUGCCUGCUCGGGAGUAAGUACGAAGGAAAAAGUAACUUGUUGUAUUGAUUGGUUGAUGAUUACAGAUUUACAAAGGUAGCUAUUUAUAGCCCCGUACAGAUAACUUCUUAACCGACUAGAAUUCUAUCUCUAAUUCAAACAGAAAACAAACAUCUACAAGCACAAUUCGUGCUAGGUUAGUUACCCCACGCUUCGUGGGCUGACCUUCACCUUAUCCUUCCAUCCCUUUCCAAGCCCAUACAGGCCCAAUUAGUCCAUCCUCUUAAUCGGUCGAUUUCUCAUCGGCAAAAGAUUACCGAUUGGGAUUCUGGUGCAUUCAUCCUGAAGCGAGACAAAAGUCGCCAGCCGAUCCCGCACUAUAGCACCAUUUGACCGAUUCCCAACUGUAGUUCUCCGAUUUCUUUUCUGCUUGACGCCGAUUCUACUGGUGACGAAAUCCGGCGUCAACACAUGCCCCCCAGUUUCGGAGUAAAACACAGUCUUUUACUUCGAAAUUCUUUAUAACUUCCCCUCCGAAACGGCCGCAGUGAAAAUAUCCUUCCGUUUCGCGAUCUCCCGGCUGAUCAUUGCAAUUUUUGAAACGGGCGCCCACGACAGCCACUACCCCGAAAAACUCGAAGCGCCGGCGCGGUGAAAAUUCCAUCUUUACCCCCACUUCAGGCAUCCUAUAAAUAGCGCUUCACCGCAGCUCAUCUUCAAGCUCACGUCUCUUUUCCCAACACGCGCGCAUCCUUCUUCUUUCAACACUCUCCCUUGCCAUCGAAGUCUUCUAGUUCCAGUUCCUGUUACUUCUUCCCUCUUCCCUUCGAUGGCGACUCCUUCCGGCAGCUCCCCCGUACGCGAUGCUCCAGAGAUAGUGCCUCCGGUGGUGGUGGCGACGGCCGUCACUUCAUCUGCAGAUGAAAGAGCUUCAUCAGAAAUCCCAAUGGCGGUCCCCAUCACGGCCCCGUCAUCCACAUCCGCGUCGGCGACCACACCGAUUACUCAGAACUUUAUCCCGGAGGUAAAUACCGAAUCCUUCCCCUAUCGGCAACGUAUUUAUCUUAGAUCUACUCCUUACAUUUCCAUGCCCCUUUUUCCUUCUUUUAGGCUGUUAGGCAUAGAAUUACUAUUCACCUCACGGGCAGUCCUGGCCUUGUUUGCCUUGGUCCUAUGGGAGACCCAGAUCCGGCGAAUCUUAUAAAUUUGGAAACCGACCGGGUACCCUUCAAACGAUCCGAUAUGAACUUAGAUCAAUGGGUGAGCACUUUCAGAUCUUGGCCGAAUGAAACCCCAGGUUGGAGGGAAUGGUACCAACGGGUGGCUGCGUCAAAGAGCGUCUUGUGGGAAGAGCUCAAAAUCGGCCAAUGCAUCAACCUCUCUCUGUCUCAAAUGGAGAAAAAUGAGCCGUUAGUGAUGGCGGCUUCCUAUUUUUGGUCUGACGCACUUAAUGCGUUCUUAUUUGGACACGGUCCUAUGACCCCCACUCUAGCCGAUGUGGUCCUCUUGACCGGCCUGGACAUAUCUUCCCCUGACACGCCCUUCCACCUUUUGACUACAACGUCGCAUCGGCUGGACACAAGGGGAAUCGGCGGCUGGAAAGGCUUCAUCAACAGUAACAAGAAGACCGGUACCGUUGAGAACAGGGAACACACAGCUUUCCUGAUGAUGUGGCUAGAAAAACAUCUCUUUUGUGGAAGAGCCGCCGGCCCAACAACCAACACCCAAUCCUUAGCUGAAGCACUGUCCAGAGGAAGCCAUAUUCCUCUCGGGAAACAUCUUCUGGGUGCCGUGUACCACAUGCUCCAUCAAAUCGGCACAAAACUUUCAAAGGGAGAACCAAUCGGCAACCCAGGUGGGCCUUGGUGGUUUGUUAAUCUAUGGUUGAACCUUUACAUGAGCAGAAUCACCUGGCAGCCAGUAGACCAUAUGAUGUUUCCCAAUAUCGAAUCGGCGGAGGACCCUACCGAGCGUCGCCGAUGCAUGUCCUUUGGUGAAGCAGCGUCAGCUUUCCCAGGUUGUGCGUAUUCUGCUACAAAGGUAGCCGAGUACUUUCGGUGCUUUUAUAAUGGAUUUAAUGAAGAUGCAUCCAUUUGGUUCCCGUACCAGCGAGACAUCCCAGUCUUUGAGCUCCCUACCUGCUUUGACUCAACUUCUGGCCGGUUCGAUGAGAAUCUUUAUGAAGAACUGAUCAAGCCAGGACUUCUACCGGCCAACUUCUUUUCAGGGAAGGAUGCUCCUACAUACGAAUUCUACAACCCGUCUACCGCCGCACGACAAUUCGGCAUGGGUCAAUUGCUGAUACAAGUGUAUUUUGCUGACCGAAUCAAGUUCAGAGAUGUGCUCACAACUGGCCUGGAUUACUGUCGGCUGCGAGACCGAAUUCCGGACUCCAGUACGAUCAAUUUGAAUGACUGGCUAUUAUUUCCAUUUGCCAUCCAGCCGUUCAAACUUUGGUGGGCCGAAUGGAAGCAAUUUCUAUUUUGCAACUCAGCAUCGACAUACUGCAACCUUCUAGAUCCGGCCAACAUUGAUCCCAACGCCGAGGUAUUUCUGAUCGCCGAUUGUUAUUCUCCCCAACAUGAUUGAGCACUAAUAACUUCAUUGUUUCUUUAGGCCGGGAAUCGGAACCCUCCAACACACAGCCGCAGCGGUCGGCUAAUAGAGAGCUAUCCGUACACCACCUAUCCUCUUAUCGGCUACGACGCUCCGUCAGUUGACAUGAUUGCUGGCCGAUCGAAGAAGGUUCAUAAGAAGGUCGUCAAGAAAACCAGUCGCCGAGUCCGGGCUCGUACAGAAUCGGCGGAUCCUCCUGUGCUCGUAUCGGCAGAAACUUUGACUGCGCCACCUUCCCAGGCCACACAAAUUGCCGAUACUCAAGCCAUCACACAAGCCGGGGUGGCUGCUGCAUCAUUAUUGUUGGAAGCUAUACAAGUAAGUCCGAGCUUUACCAUCUCCGAUUGUCAUCUUGAUAUUAGCUCUUCUUAACUUUGUACUUCUUAGAGCACCUCUAUGGAAAUACCACAAUCGGCGACAACUCGACCGAACACCAAUGCGCCCCCGCCCUCAUCCAUUGAGGUACGGUACUUAUCUUACGGAUUCUUUCGGGUGUUUGCGUAAUGUACUUAACCGAUUCUUCAACGCAGGCCAUCGGCACACCGAGCACUUCUCGACAGCCGAUUUCUUCCCAGGGAGCUGGUCCGAGCACCGCGCCGAUUGUCGUGGAAUCCUCUUCAUCGGAUGAACCUAUGCACAGGCCGCUGAGCAAGACACGACGGCUUUACAAGCGCAGCAUGAAGAAAUUCGUUUUAAAAUGGUAAGUUCCUAAACCAGCUUUUCAACCAGCCGAUUUGCUCUGAUCCCCCGCCGAUUCACCCCUUUUCCUUAUUUUGUUAGGAACAAGACUCCCCCAACAACAGCCUCUUCUCCUUCACGGUUGCUCUUUCUGAUGAUGAGGAAAUCGUAUCCCGCCAAGUUGCUCUAAGCUCCGUCCCUGACGACGUCCGAGCUAAACUUACCAACAUCCGAUCCCUCCUGCAAGGGGACAUCGGCCGAUUGGUAGAAGAUGCUUCGCCGAUUCGGCAGCUCUUCAGUGACGUCAGCGGACGAGUACCAGAGGAAGCGGAAGAGGCCUUAGCACCAGCGGCCUUUAUUGAGUCCAUGAGGAUCCCAGUCUUUAGGGCCCUUCGUCAUAUGGCCGAUCGCGCGAAGCUGGCCAAGACUCGUGAAGAUGAAAACGCUUUCAAGCAUCAGGCUCAAGAAGCGCAUCGGCGUAUCCAUGUCCUAGAAGUCUCACGCCCGGCGAUCAUUAGUGAAAUAGACCGCCUCAAACGACGGAGGGCGGAACUUGCCAAAGAGAUGGAGCAAGUGACCAAGGCAAUCAGCGCCGAAGAGAACAAACUUCAAGAGUUACCCUCUGCUAUUGCCGAUUUGACACGGGAGAGGCAGCGUUUUGCUCAAGAGGCUCUGAGACUCCACCGCAACGCAUCGGAGGUCCCUGGAUCGGCAGAAGAAGACCAACGGGUUCUUGACUCUGCCGAUCAGAUCCGGCGUCGGGCCAUCACGGCUAUCGAUACCCUUUUGGGUAAUCUGUAAAACACUGACCGUUUUGUACGAACAUUUACUACCUUCUUUGACCGACCCUUCGCGACGCCCUCUCUAUUUACUGCCUUCCUUAUUACCGAUGGGACGUGGCCUCACCAGAUUUCCACGUAUUUUCCCCCAUAAAUAUCGACCUCGGCGCCUACUCCCGAUAGCAUCGACCCGGCUUCCAUUUCACUUUUCUUCUUCUUCUCAUCAGUGCGACUAUUUUGUCAUGGCCUCAUCGUCAUCCUCUUCUGUCAACCAGGUGAAGCCCCGACUUCUCCUCUUAGAUCUUAGGAAACGAAUGUUUCACCUUAUUCUUUCUUUGUUUCAGCCCCAACGCCUCGGUCCGGAGCUCGUGCGCGCCAUCGAGUGCAUCCAUUCUGAAGAUCCGUUGACCCCGGAGGACAAGGCUCUGAUUCUGGCCCACCAAGAGGAGCUUCAAGACCACAUUACUGCAGAGGCUCGUGCAGUCUUGGAUGCCGUGGUAAGUGAAAGCCGUCGCCAAUCUCCAAUCAUGAGGGGUCGUCGUCGUGACGUUCCUGGAGAUGACGUCACUUCGGCAGCCCGCACGAUCCUGGAUUACAUGGAGAGGAACGGCGGCCAGCGGUCUUCCACCGAUAGAGCCCGUCUGCUUCCUCGGCCCGUCAUCCUUGCGGCGGCGGAGGCUUCGCAACUUCGUGCUGUGGACGAGUUGGAGCGGAAUGGGAAGGCAUCCCAGAAGAAGAACAAUUAGCUUGUUUUUUUUUUGUAUUUUUGUUCUAAGGGCGACUUAGUGUUUUGUCGGCCAUGUAAUCCGUCGUCCGUACCGAAUAAAUGUAAUCGGCCGCUCCGGUCGACUUUAUGUGCAUCUUAAACCGACUCGUAUCGGCUAUGUAUGAUUGUGUUGAUUUCUCAGGCUCCGACCCAUAUACUUGGGUAAUAUCUUUUUAAGUAUCUUCCAUUCAGAGCUCUAGUGAAUUCUUCUCCUUCUAUUGUUUCCAAAAUAUAGGCAUUCCCUGGAGCGCAUCUGCCGAUUUUAUACGGCCCUUCCCAGGUAGGGGACCAUUUUCCGAAUUUAGGAUCUUUCGACCCGAUCGGUAGUACUAGCUUCCAUACCAAGUCUCCAGGGGAGAACUGCUUGACUUUGACCUUUUUAUCGUACCACCUGGCCACUCUCUUUUUAUUUUCUUCGAUACUUAUCAGAGCCCUUAGUCGUUGGCCAGCCAAAUCAUCGAGUUCCCCUUUCAUCAGAGAUGAGUAAUCAUCGGCUGACAACUGGUCCUGAAGUGAGAUGCACCUUGAUCCUGCCCUCGACUCCCAUGGUAGUACUGCAUCGUGACCGUAUACCAGCUGAUAGGGGGAUAACUUGGUAGCCCCAUGACAGGCCAUUCUGUAUGCCCACAGGGCCUCAGUCAAACAUAGGUGCCAGUUCUUCGGAUAUUCUUCAAUCUUCCUUUUGAUCAACUUGAUUAUUCCUUUGUUGGAAGAUUCUGCUUGACCAUUGGCUUGAGCGUAAUACGGAGAAGAAUUCAACAAUUUGAUGCCCAUAUCGGUCGUAAAUUCCUCAAAUUCCCCCGAUGUGAACAUUGUUCCUUGAUCGGUUGUUAUAGUUUGAGGGAUACCGAAUCGGUAAAUGAUAUGGUCCCUUACGAAGUCGGCCAUGAUAGCCGAAGUCACAGUCCUCAACGGGAUUGCCUCCACCCAUUUGGUGAAGUAAUCGGUAGCCACCAGAAUAAAUUUGUGCCCCUUGCUCGAUGGUGGAUAAAUUUGGCCGAUGAGGUCUAUUCCCCACCCCCUGAACGGCCAUGGCUUGAUAAUGGGAUUCAUGGCCGACGCGGGUGCACGUUGGACAUCUCCAAACUUUUGACAUUCCUGACAACCCUUAUAAUAUUUGAAACAGUCUUCGAGGAUCGUAGGCCAAUAGUACCCGUUGUUCCUGAUCAUCCACUUCAUCUUAUGUGCCGAUUGGUGUGCUCCACAUACCCCUUCAUGGAUUUCUCCCAUUAGAGUCUUGGCUUCUUCUGUCCCAAGGCAUUUAAGAAGGACUCCGUCGAUCGUUCGGUAGAACAGAUCAUCUUCGAGCAGUACGUAUUUGGUGGCGUGAAAGCGUACUCGUCGCUCCACCUUUUUAGACGGAUCCUUCAGGUAAUCGGCAAUUUCUUUACGCCAGUCGUCGGCUGCAAGUUCUAAGGCCAUGGCGCCCAGAAUCGGCCGAUACCCAAAUGCGUGCUGAGCGAGUUUGUUUGCUUCCUCGUUGCGGUCUCUUGGAACAUGCUCGAUUACUGCCGAUCUGAAUCCUUUUAAAAGCUGUAAGCAAUCUUCGUGAUAGAUUCUUAAUAUGUCAUCUUUGCACUCAACCCUUCCGGUUAGUUGAUCCACAAUUAGCAUAGAAUCCCCGAAGAUCUCAACAGAAUCGGCCUUGACUUCUCUCAAUAAUUGUAAGCCUUUUAAUACAGCUCUGUACUCCGCUUGAUUGUUAGUGGCGGCGGUUUCUAUCGGCAGAGAAAAAUCAUAGCUUGCCCCCCGAGGCGAUAUGAGAACGAUGCCGAUUCCUGAUCCGGCCCCACAUGAUGACCUGUCAAAAAACAAUUGCCAGGGCGCUAGUUCCACGAAGGCGAUCUCCGGUCCACAGUGCUGGGCGACGAAAUCGGCCAUGACUUGACCCUUGACGGCUUUUGCCGAUUCAUACCGUAGGUCAAAUUCUGAUAAAGCUAAGAUCCAUUUACCGAUUCGUCCUUUCAAUAUCGGCAGGGACAGCAUGUAUUUCACUACAUCAUCUUUGCAUACGACUACACAUUCUGCCGACAGUAGAUAGUGCCUGAGUUUGGUGCACGAGAAGUAAAGACACAAACACAAACGCUCCACCGGAGGGUAUCUCGUUUCGGCAUCCAGGAGUCUUCUACUGACGUAAUAAAUUACCCGCUCUUUGCCUUCAAAUUCUUGGACUAGAGCCGACCCAAUAGUUUUUUCAUCGGCUGAUAAAUAUAGUUUAAACGGCUUACCAGUUUGAGGGGGAACCAAGACUGGCGGUGAGACCAAGUAUCGCUUGAUAUCUUCUAAUGCCUUGCGCUGUUCUUCUCCCCAUAUAAAUUCCUGGUCGGGCUUCAACUUCAGAAGUGGCGUGAACGCCUGGAGUCGUCCAGAUAAAUUAGAUAUAAACCUUUCUAAUGAAGUUUACCUUGCCGAUUAGAGACUGUAGCUCAGUUUUGUUCUGUGGAGCAACGACUUUGUUGAUGGCCGCUAUGGUCUUCUGAUUGACUUCUAUGCCUCGUUCGUGCACCAUGAAUCCUAAGAACUGUCCAGCGGAGACGCCGAAAGCGCAUUUGUUGGGAUUCAUCUUAAGACCAUGCUUUUUGGUACACUCUAGCACCCUUCGCAAAUCGGCUAAGUGUUCUUCGUGGCUUUUGGACUUGACCACAACAUCAUCGAUGUAGAUCUCCACCAGGAGGCCAAUGAGUUUGUGAAAAAUGUAGUUCAUGGCUCUCUGAUAUGUAGCGCCAGCAUUCUUCAAGCCGAAAGUCAUCACCACCCACUCGAAUAAACCAAGAUGGCCCGGACAUCUGAAAGCCGUUUUGGGUAUGUCCUCUUCGGCCAUAAGUAUUUAAUUGUAUCCGGCGUUUCCAUCCAUGAAGCUAAUAAUUUUGUGUCCCGCAGCGGCGUCGAUCAGUACAUCGGCCGUAAGCAUGGGGUAACCAUCCAUCGGUGUGGCCUGAUUAAGAUUCCUGAAAUCAAUGCAAACGCGCAGCUUCCCGUUUUUCUUGUACACUGGCACGAUAUUAGAAAUCCACUCGGCAUAACGACAUUGCCGAAUAAAUUUUGCUUCAAUUAGCCGAGUUAUUUCAGCUUUUAUGUCUGGUAAAAUUUUAGGAUUGCAUCGCCGUGCGGGUUGUUGGUACGGCCGAUACCCUGGCUUUAUGGGUAGCCGAUGUUCAACAAUAGAUCGAUCUAAACCGGGCAUCUCGUGAUACUCCCAAGCAAAACAAUCCUUGAAUUCUCUUAAUAAAUUUGUCAAUUUACACUUAUACUCUGGGUCUAAAUUUGCACUAAUAAAAGUCGGCCUUGGUUUGGUUCCGUCACCUAAGUCUAUCAUCUCUAAUGAAUCGGCCGACGUGAAUCCGUGCCCCAAUUUCCCAUCUUCUCGGGCGAACUGAUCCAUCUAUUCCGCUUCCUCGGAGCCGACUGCUCGGAUCGGCUGUAGGCCAAAAUCGGUGACCUUCAGGAAAUCGGUUUCCCACACCCUACCUGAUAUGCAUCUGACGGUUUCGCAGCUCCAUUGCUGUGCGUCGGCUGCUGCGAUGCUGUAUGCGGAGUCGGCUUUGACCACCUCGAUGCUAUCGCCGACCCAUUGUACGAGGCAUUGAUGCAUAGUUGACGGGAUGCAGCAGUUUGCGUGUAUCCAGGCUCGGCCAAGAAGCAUAUUAUAGGACCCUUUGCCAUUAAUGACGAAAAACGUGGUAGGAAGAGUCUUACUGCCGAUGGUGAGGUCGACGCAGAGAGCACCGCGAGCGGUUGACACCUUGCCUUCGAAGUCCUUGAGCAUCAUGUCCGUCCUGGUUAGGUUGUCGUCGCUCUUCCCCAGCUUCCGGAGUACGGCAUACGGCAUGAUAUUGACAGCAGCUCCUCCGUCGACCAUCAAUCUAGUGAGGGGACGACCGUCAACAUGCCCUUUAAGGAACAACGUCUUCAUAUGUUGUCGUUCGUCGUCUUCGGGCUUUCCGAACGUGGCCAUCAUUGGUUCUAAAGCCAACCGUGCUGUCUGUUCCUCUAUCGCCGAUACGUCCUGUUGAUCGGCAGGGGUCAUGAACUCCAUCGGCAAUAUGAAAACCAUACCGAUCUCGGCUGCCGAUUCAUCACCCGCCGACUCAUUGUUUCCCUUGUCGUUUCUUUUGGGGCGCCACACCCGAGGCCUCCCUUCCUUCUUGUCCAUCGCGCUCUCUUCUUCUUGCUGUUCCCAUUGGCGGAGGUGUUGGAUCCUCCGUUUUUGUGAUUUGGUUAAACCAUCGGGGCACCACAUGGGGUUUAUUGGCCUCCCUUCUUUCCUGGCGCGUUCCCACUCCGGUUCGCGUCCUAACGGGUUCUCGUCCGUUACCCGAGCAUUGGCCAUGUCUUCGAGCCGGCUGUGAACGCUAGCUUUGCUAUUUGACUGAUCAUGUCGAUCAGCCCUGCCCCCCUGCCUAUCAUGGCUUCUAUCUUCUGACCGAUCAUAUCGGUCACUUCUGCCCCCCAGCCGAUCACGCAUGGGAGGGCGCUGGUCAUCUGGGUUGCGCCAAUUCCUGCUGAUCGGUUCUGGCCUUCCGUCUCUGGAGCGAGACCUGGUGAACGGCCGAUUGCCCCGAUAGGGACCGUUGCACUCUGGGCAAGUAUCGGCCGAUGGUAGCCUGAGGUUAUUUUCCCAACAAUGAAUGAAGAACGGGCAUCUCCAGUGCUCCUCGUGCCGACGCAUCGCUUCCUCUCGGGACCUUGAACGUUCAUGUUGGCAUUGGUACUUUUGGAGCAGGAACUGGGAAGUAAUGCGUGGCCCUCCUGACUCACCAUCAUCGUCCUCCAUUUGUCGCUUUCCCUUGACAUCUUCAGACGUAACUUGAUUUCUGGGAUCGACAGCGCCACUCUUUUUGGCCAACUCGAACGUCAGCACUUUUGUUUGGAGAGAAUUCUUUCCCGUAUCAACCAUGUUGGUAGGAAAGGGGUGCUGGUCGAUCUUCAUUGGUUUGGCCGAUUUUGCCGGCACUUCAAAUUUGAGUCUGCCUUGCUUAAUGGCCGACUGUAUUUGUUGCCUGAAGAUUUUGCACUCGUUAGUAUCAUGUGAUGUGGCAUUGUGCCACUUGCAAUACUUCAUCUUUUUCAAUUGUUUGGCAGAGGGUAUUGUAUGGUAAGGCGAGAGUUUAAUCUGCCCUUCCUGGAGUAAAAGAUCGAAGAUUUUAUCAGCUUUAGUUGUAUUGAAACCGAAUGCUUCCGGCUCCUUCUUGCCGAAUGGGCAUGAUAUCGGCUUCUUUCCCUUAAUCCACUCUGCAAGUCCGAUUUCGGCAUCGUCCUCGUCCUCUAAUUCUUCCAGGAAUGCCACUUUCUUCUGGAAAUUCCUUCUCGGAUCAAAUGGACGCACUUCCUGCCCGGACAAUCGGUGGACAAUCUGGCUCGGGCUCUCGAACUCUUGUGAAGCAUAUUUCUCUUUAAUGUGUGGCAGCAGGCCUUGGAAAGCUAUAUCGGCCAACUGAGCAUCGGUUAGAGCCAGGGAGUAGCAUUUGUUUCUGAUUUCCCGAAACCUCUGUAUAUACGAGGGUAUCGGCUCAUCACUUCUUUGCCGGAGGCUAGUCAAAUCAGACAGCUUCAUUUCAUGGACCCCAGCAUAGAAGUACUUGUGGAACUGUCUUUCUAGAUCGGCCCAUGUGAUAAUUGAGUUUGGUGGCAAAGUUGUGAACCAUUGGAAGGCCGAUCCAGACAAAGAUGACGAGAACAAUCGUACCCGCAGGGCAUCUUGCGUAGCUGCCUCCCCGCAUUGGAUGAUGAAUCUAUUCACAUGUUCUACGGUAGAAGUGUCAUCCAUCCCCGAAAAUUUGGUAAAAUCAGGAACUUUGUACCGAUGGGGGAACGGCAACAGGUCAUAUGUAGAUGGGUAUGGUGUUCUAUAGGUAUAAGUUUGCAUUUUCGGCUUCAAGCCGAAUUGUUCUUGCAUUACCUCCGCAAUUUGCGCCGACCAAUCUGGUUGUUGCUGGGGAACAGUUGGCUGCGGUAUCGGCACGUGCUGAUAAAUCGGAGGCUGAAUAAAAGGAGAUUGAUGAAAAGGUGGUAUCUGAGUGUAAGCUGGCGGUGUAGUAAAGGUUGGCUGUUUGUAUGAACCACUUGUUUCAUCAUACAGCAUGAGCUCUGACGUCUUGUUGACCUCCGGAGCGACAGGCUGGUAUGGUGGUAUGAUCGGCCGGGUGGCCGUUUGGGAGUGUGUCUGGAACGGAGGAUUUCCUUGACUGACCGAUUGAUUCAGACUGGCCGCGUUUAAAGGUGCCCCCCAGGGUGAAGGGCUGACUCGAGGGAAUGGCGCAGAGGACAGUUGGGUAGAACCAUAUCCCAAAGGAAUUGAUGACGCAGAAGCACCGGAUCCUCCAACAGAAGAUUGGAUCGGCUGUGAAGCCGGAUAAGCCUGAUUUGGUGGAAUCGGCUGAAAAUACGUUGGUCCCCUGUAUCCUUGAGGUAUACCUCCGGCGAAGGAGUUGACAACGGCAUUGUGCACCAUGUUUGAGAGUACCGGGGAUUGAUUGAUGAAGGCGUGAUGAAGAGAUUGUUGAAUCAUAUCGGACAUUUUGUCCGAAUCCUCAGAAAUUGUGAUCUGACGGGGAGUAGGGAAAGGAGUUUUCUUAACAGUUUCCCCGCUCCUGGAACGACUGAAGGAUUUUAAGCAAGUUUUCCGGACUUGUUCCAGAUACUUAUCCAGAUCUUCCUUUUGGUCGUCCUUUAGAUCUGCUUCCGUCACCUUGAUGACGUUAUCUUCAGAGACUUCGGCAGCUUUCGACAUGAAAGCGGUUGUAUUGGUCCCACCGGGCGUGCCAAAAGUGUGUUGGCGCUAGAAAUCGGUCAAACGAAUCCCAGCGACCGACACACGACCCGGGAGAAUCUGCUUAGCUCCUGUUCGGGUGAAUGCCCUAGUGCGGUUCGCGCGGCGUGCCAGCCAAUCUGACCUGUUGAUUGGCAAGGAAGAACACGUGUCAGGUUCAGAAACUACGAUCGGCUAAGUUUCCGAUCGAGAGAGUUUAUCGGCGAAUUGGCCGAUUUACUGUGAUAAUGAAAUCGGCUAUAAGACAGCCCGAUCCCUAUAGCCUUGUAGAUAGAAAAUUGCUAAAGUAAUCGGUACAAAGCUUGCGAUAACAACACUAGGAACAGAUCUAAUCGGCAACGGAUGAAUCUAACGAUAGAAAAUAAAUAAAGCCGAUACUACCGAUUCCUAGCUGGAUAACUGGUGAUAGAAACUAGAAAAACAGGUAAAAACCUAUGAAUCUAGCAAAUAUCGAUAACUGAUGAAUAAAUCUAAACGAAACAACAGCGAUGCGCCGGAAGUUAAAGCUUAGAUAUUACUCGAUAAACGGAACUUACAGAAUCGGCCGGAGAUCAAGAUGAUGCAGCCCUGCCAAUCCGCACGAACUCGUAAGAAGAAAAAGUAAUAGCGAAGUCGCCUGCUCGGGAGUAAGUACGAAGGAAAAAGUAACUUGUUGUAUUGAUUGGUUGAUGAUUACAGAUUUACAAAGGUAGCUAUUUAUAGCCCCGUACAGAUAACUUCUUAACCGACUAGAAUUCUAUCUCUAAUUCAAACAGAAAACAAACAUCUACAAGCACAAUUCGUGCUAGGUUAGUUACCCCACGCUUCGUGGGCUGACCUUCACCUUAUCCUUCCAUCCCUUUCCAAGCCCAUACAGGCCCAAUUAGUCCAUCCUCUUAAUCGGCCGAUUUCUCAUCGGCAAAAGAUUACCGAUUGGGAUUCUGGUGCAUUCAUCCUGAAGCGAGACAAAAGUCGCCAGCCGAUCCCGCACUAUAGCACCAUUUGACCGAUUCCCAACUGUAGUUCUCCGAUUUCUUUUCUGCUUGACGCUGAUUCUACUGGUGACGAAAUCCGGCGUCAACACCGUCAUAUACUCCUUGGAGCGAGUAUGACGGAGGUGGAUGCCGGCGCACCCAAUCGGCACCGGAGGCGACCGCUGCUGGCUUCCGGCCUUCCCCGUCUUCUGGUAGAGGCUCACCGUGAAGAAGUACUUCCACAGCUCGAAGUGGGGCUCGAUCCCCAGGAAUCCCUCGCACAACGCGACGAACGCCGCAAUAUGCUGAAUCCCAUUGGGGUUGAGAUGCUGGAGCUCGAGCCCGUAGUAGUGGAGGAGCCCGUGGAAGAAACGGCUUGGAGGGGAGGCGAAUCCCCGCUCGUGGAAGUGGGCGAAGGAGACGACGUAGCCGGCGGGCGGCGACGGAACCUGCUCCGACCCCGGUAGCCUCCACUCAUCCGCCGCCGUCCUCUCGCAAAGGAGCCCCUUUCGCACCAGGCCUUCGGCGCGACUGGCGGUGAAGUGGGAGACUCCCCAGGAAGCCAUCACCGAAGAAGAAAGGAGAUCGACGAAGGCGAAGACGAAACGCGCGGCGAGUGGCAAUGGGAACAAGGCGAACAAAGCGAGCGCAGGUGAGCUAGGAAGGCAAGAAGGCUUGAGCGCAAAAGGAGAGGAACCGGCGCGACGUGUUCCUGCUUUUAUAGGAAGAGUACCGGGGAAGCCAAACCGACGCCCCGGCCGCCAUAAAUGCGGCGCCAGGUACGCCCCUGCCACGCCCGUUUCCUUUCGAAAAUCACGCGCAUGAUCGGCCGUGAAAAAACAUCCUAUAUUCCUCGAUCCGCGGAACGACGCCUCCAUAACUCGACUCCCCGGGCUUCGCGCCCACGACGCUCCCCACGAUCGGCCCUGGCACAUCAACCGCUCCGCUCCGGCCCAACGCCCACAGGGAGGUAAGAAAGGGAUACGGGGCUGAAAACGCCCCUACGGCCCAAUACGGUCCAGGGGUUCGAAAGCUGGCCCAACACGGGUUCGACAGUUGCCCCAGGACAUCCCCGAGCAAGGGGUGAGAAGGGACGAGCCCGCUAGCGGCCAACACCCAGGCGAGCAAACGCCAAGGGCGCCCCAACCUCACGUUCGAGUCCCGCUCAGUAUAAAGUUCAUGGUUUUUCCACGGGGAAAGGCAACGAGCCCUCAGAUCCGGUCGAACGGAUCCGAGAACUAUAUGAACUGACCGACGGGAAAUUGGAGUACGCCACCAGCUUGGCCCGAGCCGGACCCCCCCGAACGGGGAUCGGGACUCCACUCGAACUUACCCGUUUGCAGCUCAAAUGAGCACCACGGUUCGUCCUACGCGGAUAACGUGGCUCGGCUCAACCCCUCCGUCCUAGCGAACGGACGCUUGAGGGGCAACGAUCAAAAAGUCGACCUGGCCUACCGAUCGGUUUCCUGCAAAAAGCGAAAGGAGCCUCCGGAGGAGCACUCCUGCUCCACCACAGGCUCGGGGGCUACUGUUGGGGGGAAAUAUUAACGACCCUCUAACACGCAGCUUAAAGAAACAAACAUGAAGGCCCAGGCCCACCGAAGCGUGAUCGAGUCUCCGCCUCGCCCGACCCCAGCGUCAGGAUCGGGAGCGCCCGACCUCCCUCCGCAAGAUCUCCGCCUCGCCCGACCGCGCCCCCAGGGUCGGGAGCGCCCGACCCUGUACCACGAAAGUUCCACCUCGCCCGACCCCGAGCAAAGGAGUCGGGCACGCUGAGGCCCACGGGUCAGAAUCCCCCUCGGAUACAUUCCGCAUAGACAAGACAAAUCCUGUGGGGCCCCCCGUCGGCCUCACCAUAAAUGCGCCGCAGAGAUAGCAGAGCGCAGGGCGACUGCGCCCCUCACGCAACCCGGCGCAAGUACCCGCGCACGACCGUCCUGUACGAGCUACAGUAUUGGCGGCCAGCUCCUAUUCGUCGCAAGGUACUCAUGACCUGCGGCGAC